CCUGUCCCGCAGCCCCACACCUCCGCUCGUGCUGUCCUCCUCGGAUCCGUAGGCCUGCUUGAAGCGGUCCUCGGUGAAGAUGCUCCGGUACACGGCCACGGAGGCGCUCAUGUUGUCCCUAGGGUAGCUGAGACGACCAGGGGUCAGGGGAGUGAUGGAUCCUAUCCCAACUAUCUUGGGACAGGAGGCAGGGACACCCUUAACUGUUUGCCAGUCAAUCGCAGGGCACAGGAGCGCCUCGAGAAAACCCACGCAGCCACAAGGAGAACAAGCGAACUCUGCAAAAAAACAAACAAACAAAAACGAUAAAAGAGCAUAAAAUAAUAUUCCAACUGUAAUACCACAUUUGGAUACAGUUGUGGCUAUAUAACAAGAUUAAAAUUUGUGUUCCUGUGUUUUUUAAAUCAACGCCGUGUGUUUUUGUUACUCGCAAGAAAUGCCAGGUUUAAACUGAAAUCAAUUCAUAUUUGUGUUUGAAAUUGCCACGCUAAAAUUUAAUUAGAGAAGAAAAUGUACU
Molecule: long non-coding RNA, 517 nt
Organism: Syngnathoides biaculeatus (alligator pipefish)
Lineage: Eukaryota; Metazoa; Chordata; Actinopteri; Syngnathiformes; Syngnathidae
Exons: 3
Source: RefSeq, a predicted model, not a curated record